UUUCAACAAUCACGCCAGUUACCUUAGCAACAGCAUAACGCGGCACGGUUACUAGGCCCGAACAUACACAUACACACGCACUGGAUCCUCACACGCUCAACAAUAUCACGACGUCGCACACACGAAAUUAAAUCAAAAACCCACCAGAGACUAUACACUUAUCAAUGUAACUAUUAUUCAAACCAUACAAUUAUUCACACUAUUAAUCCACAUAAACUAACCGAUCACAUAACAUUUCAACAAUUUCGUCUCUACGGUCAGUGGUUAUGGUACGGUUAGUGAUUAUUGUACAGUUUAGACAAUUAUGGUUUUAACGUUACAAUAUCAGUUAGUACACAUGCAAGGUUAAACAGUAAUUUUAGUAUUUUUCAUGUAAUAUCAGUAGUUAUGGUACAAGUCAGUGGUUAUGGUACAUGUCAGUGGUUAUGGUACCGUGCGCUAUUUUACACUAUACACACAAUUUACACUCCCACUAGACGGCAGAGCUCAAGCUUUCUAGCAGGACAUACAAUUUAACCAAUUCACCAGUUCACCAACUACAGUAUAUCUAACAAUAUUUACAAUAAUCCCAACUAUUCUAAUUGGACAGCACCUUGAGAACUAUCAAACUAUUUACACCAGGAUUCGGUUAGUCUACGCUGCCCAAGCACCACAUAUAGCGAACUAAUGAGCGGAAUGUACAACAGGACUCAUUUAGUCUAUUUACUCUAUCAAUAGUCUAGUGGUUGAACUUACAUGCCUCCCACUUAGCCAAGAUAAGUUGAGAUCUAGCAGAUGGAAUGUACACCAGAGUCUGCUUAGUCUCCCGGUCCCCCCGACCUAGCGACCACCUAGACACGCUAGUCAUGACAGGACACCGGUGUUGACAUGAACUGUUUACACCAAGAUUCUGUCUAACCCAAACCACCUGUAUUAGACGGGCUGACUACAGAGCGUCUAAUGUCAACAUAAGCGGUGCGCCUUCGCAUCUUCCUUCCAGUGGGAAGGGGCAAAUUCCAUACAACCAAACCAAUUCCAAAUACAAACUCUUUGUGGGCUUACCUCUCUAACGGUAUUAAUCUUACCUCUUCGUUCCUGGACCUGGGCUUCACACUCAUUAACGGGGCACCCCGGUACUCACUGCGCAGAAGCCGAUGAUCUCCUGGACAAAAGGCCAGUGGCGCAGAGACGAAAGGAGGUUCACGCAGAAGUCCAGGGGUGCUGCCGUGGAGAACGUUGGUAAAAGUUUACCGUCUCAAAUCUCUGCGCCAGCUUCCGUGCGAUGAGGUUCCCGGACCCAAUGCACCAAAAAUGUUACCGGAGGAAUAACAGGAACAAACCGCAGAAGCCACACAUAGAGAUAUGGACACAGGUAUUCAGGAAGUAAGAGGCCUUUAUUCACGUACCGAUCGGGUCUCAGAUGGACUAAUGUUCCACAACAGAUCUGAGCCCAGAACACAUGGAGUACAUUCCUUAUAUAGCAAAAUAGCUGCGAGCAUAAAUAGCUACACCCACACAUACCCUUAACCAAUCAAUAAACAGAGUCUGGACUUGCUCAUCCGGUCUGACCACAUGGCUCACCCGAAACAAAGGACAAAGGAGUGUGAUUUCAGUUCCUACAUUCCUGCUCAGUACAUUGAUGACAGUAUCUUAGCUACAUGUAACUAACUAACUGAUACUACAAACACAUGUACCUACAUAUGCUACGUGGCAAUCUUGGCCUACUAAACUUCUAUUUUACUGGAAUUCCAUCACACUAUUACUCCAUAUAACCCUUACUAUAAUCCCUCCUGUUACUCCAUAUAACUCUCCCUAUAACUCCUCCUAGUACUCCAUAUAACCCUCCCUGUAACACCUCCUAUUACUCCAUAUAACCCUCCCUAUAACUCCUCCAAUUACUCCAUAUAACCCUCCCUAUAACUCCUCCUAUUACUCCAUAUAACCCUUCCUAUAAUUUCUCCUAUUUCACCAUAUAACCCUCCCUAUAACCCCUCCUAUUACGCUAUAUAACCUCCCUAUAACUCCUCCUAUUACUCCAUAUAACCCUCACUAUAAUCCAUAUUACUCCAUAUAACCUCCCUAUUACUCCAUAUAACCCUACCUAUAACCCCUCCUAUUACUCCAUAGAACCUCUCCCUAUAACCCCUCCUAUUACUCCAUAUACACUCUGUACUAUGAGAAGGGAACCAGGUCCCUAAUUUUCAAUUAAGACUUGUCAGAUGAGAGACUUCACUUUCUUUCUAUGUGAAGAUUUAUGGUUUAGAAUACAGUAGUAGUGAAACUGUCCAGGAGAAAAUUACAAAUGGCAAACAUGGUACAUUAUUAAUAGUGCAAUAAAUUGGAUAUUGUAAAAAGCGCUAAAAAGACAUUCAGGGGAAAUGGGAAAAAUGAUAUAUAGAAUCCGCACUUACAUGCCGUUUUGAGAAUACAGUAUUGUAUAAAACAAUCAAUAUGCUGCUGCACACUUAAAUGUUGUGGUUCCAGGCUCAAACACACUUAUAGGAGAAUACAAAAGUGAAAGAUAAGUGGAGCGCAGAUGGCAGGAAAACCCACCUAUAGACCUUGAAGUGCAAGUAAAUCAAAUAUGUAUACUUAUAUUUUGUAGAUAAAUCUCGAUGACAUGCAAAGAGAGAAAAAAAAUACAAAAUAAUCGUGCAAUAUGUCAGAGAUAAAUAGAAAUAGACAAAUUUAAUAACAGUGCAGAUGAAAUGGUUAAAAAUGGUUAAAUACUGCUUACGAUAUGGCAGUAGGUGAGAUUUAUGCGGGCAGAGAGGCUCCGCUACUGACAAGCGCUAUAGGUCAGGGAUCUGAGCGAAUUCAGCAGGAUCUGCAGAGAUGAUCUGUAGUUCGGGUGUCCUGCCGGGUUUCCCAAUGUUGCAGUUCCGGAGGUGGCCCUUACGCUGUCCGUGCCUCGCAAUAGUUGUCCAGAUGAACCAUCAAAGGUUCAAUCUGUUCACGGGGUUUGCAGGUACCGCCCACCUUGAUUAUGUUAGUGCGUUUCUUACGUAGACGCGUCUCACCUUCCGGCUUCUUCAGAACGUAAGGAGUAUAGUCUCUACUGGCAGUAGGGAAACUUUAAGGGCAAUGAUGGUUCCGCCCUCAAAUGUUCCUACUGAUUGCAAAUGCAAAGUCCAGCCUUUAUUUAAAGGUGAAGUUAACAAAAAAUAAAUGUCUCUGUUUCAUUUCACUACACAAUUAUACAUUAACAAUUAAAAACAUGUAAAGCUAGACAAAGUUCAACUUAAAAUUAGAAAUCGAAACAUACGAUGAUACAUACUACAAACAGCAUUAAUAAUAUACAAAUGCAAUUAUAUGGUAAGCUCUGUAUGAAGUAUGUACUUUUAACAUAUACAGAGGUAGGAAUAUUUGACACAAUCCAAAGACAUGAUUAAUAUUCUAAAAAAGAAGAAGAUAGAUGUUAAAAACUGUAACAUGGGAACCACUAAUCAGUGUAAUCUACACCAUGCAAUCAUGCAUACAUUUCAAUGUUCAAAUAUGUAAUAAGCUUCAAUGGGAGCAGCAGAGAUGUUAUAAAUACAUAAUAUAAACAAUCAUGGGUUAUGUUAUCCUCACAUUACAAAAUAUCAUUUAUAUAUGCAAAUAUAAAAAAUAUAUAUGAAUUACAAAGAGAAUUUAAAAAAAUGCAUUAUAAAAAAUGGCACAAUUCGAAAUCUUUAUUCAUGCCCUUUGGGAUCAAGGUGUUGAAUUCAUAUAUCAUUUUCAUCGCCGCCCUUCCCAUUUUUUGAUUUAAGUCAUCCACUCUCCAGUUAUGAUGUAUCUUCUGAAUGCCUUUAAAGGACCACUAUAGUGCCAGGAAAACAUACUUGUUUUCCUGGCACUACAGGGUCUCUAGGUCCCCCCCCCCCACCCUCUGGAUCCCCCUCCUGUGAAAACCACAGUGAGAAGCGCAGAAGCGCCUCUAGCGGCUGUCACUGGACAGCCACUAGAGGCUGGAUUAACCAAAUGUAAACAUAGCAGUUUCUCUGAAACUGCUUUGUUUACAGCAAAAAGGGUUAAACCUAGCUGGACCUGGCACCCAGACCACUUCAUUAAGCUGAAGUGGUCUGGGUGCCUAUAGUGGUCCUUUAAAGCGUAAUAGAGAGGGGACCCUGUUGUGAUGAUCUCUGAAGUGAAACCUGAUGCUUUUCAAACUUUCUACUGUUAUACACAUGCUCACCUUUCCUUGUCCUCAGUAGCCUAGAGGUUCUUCCUAUGUAAUUUAAGCCACAGGGACAGGUGAGGAUGUAGAGCACAUUCUUAGUGUUGCAUGUAAUGCAGUCUCCAAUUGUGUAGAUCUUUUCGUUCACCCUAAAUUCUGCAAUAUGUUGUUUUCCUGAGUGGGUUAAUUGACAGGCCCUACAUCUGCCGCACCCAAAAAAACCUGAAAAAUUAGUUAAAAAAAUAUUAUUGGCCUUUUGUGUGUCCUUUUCUUCUCUAAUGAUCCCAUCUGUUAAAACCCUUUUCAAGUUAGGUAAACCCCAAUGUACAAUCUUCGGUUUGUAUGGUAGAAUCUCCCUAAAUACUGGAUCUUUCAACAAUAAUAAUCAAUGUUUAGCUAUGAUUCUACGUACUUGUGCAUUUUGAUUCCCUGAGUAUUGACAUAUAAAUGGGAUUACCUCCUUGGUUGGUUCUUUUGUUUUAUACUUUAUAAGAUCCUCCCUUGCUAUUUGGUCAAUAGAGUUCAUAGUGCCUUGCAGAGUUGAAUCACUAUAGCCUCUGGUUUGGAAGUCCCUAGUGAUUAUUUUUCCCUGAGUGAUAAAUACUGCUUGUUCAGAGCAAUUUCUUUUAAUGCUGACAUAUUGACUCUUAGGCACAUUGUCCAACCAUGGACUGUAGUGACAGCUUGUCCUCUCAAUGUAGCUGUUCACAUCCACAGCUUUGAAGUAGGUUUUAGUCUUUAUGCUGUUAUUCUCGAUGUAGAUGGUAAGGUCCAAGCAAUCUACCUGGGUUUCGCUAUAUUGAAAAGACAAUGAACCCCCCAAUCGUUUUGGUUGACAGGUGCAAUGAAUUCCAAGAGAAGAGAUUCACCUCCCCUCCAUACAAGAAAAAGUUAAUCUAUAUACCUCUUGUAGAGCAGCAGGUUUUUCCCCCAGUGUCCGCCACCGUUCAAAUGACUACUUUCCCAGAAUGCCAUGAACAGAUUGGCGUAGCUGGGUGCAAACCUGGUGCCCAUAGCUGUGCCACGUUUCUGGAGGUAGAAGUCAUUCCUAAACCAGAAGUAGACAUUAUUGAGGAUCAACUCUAUAGAUUCUAAAACAAACUGGUUUUGUAUUUCUGGGUAAUAUGCUAUUUAUAAAAAGAAGGCGGUGGCUUGUAUAUCCAAUUCAUGUUGAAUGAUGGCCUCUGUCCUUCGGGAUUACUUCCCAAUUAUCUCCAGGAUAGAAGACUCUGUGGAACUGGUUUUGGGCAGAAAAGCCAUGCUUCAUUUGGUCACAAUGGACGUUGAUCUAACUUUUGACCCACUGGACCAAUUUGUAUGAUUUUGACGUAUGUUGGUAUUUGGAGUAUGCCGAUUCUGAAAAUGUAAUGAAUGUGAAUGUGAUGCAUACUUUUAAAGUUAUGAAUAUUGUGUAAAACUGUGUAUUUUCCUGCCUGUGAUAAUUAUAAUAACCCAUUGUGUAAGGUAAUUGUAUCACAGGCAGAGGGGAGGAAUUUGUGUGGGAGUGUCUGAGUGUAUUGUACAUGUUUAUUGGUUGUUUUACAAAACCCUGUGGGUGGUACUAAUGUGUAAGAAUGUGUAUAUAAGAACAAUAAACCCACAGCUCUGUCAGUUCUACUUCACCCUCAAUUUGGAGUACCGUCUCUUAUUGGGGGAAUCUGAUACAAGGGAUUGCUGUGCUCUGCAUAUUCCCUUGCUAUAAUCACUCCUAAGCUCUUUUAAGAGCUUGUUCCUGCUUCACUCUCUUGGAUGAGAGGUUCACCCACUGGAGCCCGGAGCCUUGUCAUAGGUCCAGGGUGUGUAAGAGAUGGCGAGACCCCAACUGUGGCAAAACUAGCCACUUAAGACUGUAUUUCCAGUAAUGUGAUGUUGUAACUUUAAGGCUACCUGAACUGAAUAUAUUCACUUGUUUGUAAUUUAUGUGAACGAGAGUAUUCGUACGCUGGCGACAUGAAAGCCACCAGCAUUCAUACAGUUUCACGAACAGUGAAUUUCAACACUGUUCGUGAAAUGAACAAACUACAAAAUAGGAGAUCACACACAGGAGGUCGUGUGGCUCCCAUCAAGUAUCUCAACAUUGUAUAUUUCGGUAGUUAAUGGAUGUUCAGGAUGGCUGCCAUUCGGAUACCGACCACGCGGCGGUCGGCCAUCUUGGAUCCUUUGUUAGCCAGUGGUAUUUUGUCGUCGAGUGCCUGGAACUAAAAUCGGCUACUCGACGGCACAAAUAACGCUGGACUUCCAGGUCGUUCGGGAGCACCGGUCUUUCAGUAUUUCAUCCCUGCUGGUCUAUUCAUGUCUUUGGUGAAAAAUUUAUGUUUAGG
Molecule: non-coding RNA, 6459 nt
Organism: Pelobates cultripes (western spadefoot toad)
Lineage: Eukaryota; Metazoa; Chordata; Amphibia; Anura; Pelobatidae
Source: the annotation of a GenBank genome assembly